UAGAGUUUGGCUCUAAAAUUAAUUUAACCGUUUUAUACGAUUCUUACUGAAUUUAACACAGAGUUUUUAGAUUCAGAAUAAAUUUUUUGAAUUGAAUCAAACCGGAGGUUCGUUUUUAAUUUUACUUUCGAACUUGGAAUUUUUGUUCAGUGCAAAAUGCUAUGCUGGUCAAACUCGCCUCGCGGCCCACUGUGAAGCUGUCAAGCUGUGUUUUGUUUUGAUAAAAAAUGAGGCGUCCCUUUGUGAAGGUAGCUCGCAACAAACGAUCGACAGCACGGUUCGUGUACGUGCAGCUGCGGGAAGGGCUGUAUUGCUGGAAGGUUGCUGGUAGCUGGUUGCUGGUAGCUGCAGCUGCGGGAAGGGCUGUAUUGCUGGAAGGUUGCUGGUAGCUGCAGCUGCGGGAAGGGCUGUAUUGCUGGAAGGUUGCUGGUAGCUGGUUGCUGGUAGCUGCAGCUGCUGGUGUUUCAUCGUUCCGGUACGCCACGAAGACCUCAAAGUUUUUUGUGAUAUAAAAAUAAACGAAAAGAAAGAAAGAAAAUUGGUUUUUUUAUUUUUUGUUCGGAUAGAUGGGAGGCUUGUCCUCGCCCCUUUUAGGUUGCGAUUGGUGGCGCGCCGUGGCUUCCAGAGUUUUGGCUAACGGUUAGCGCGUUAGUUUAGCAUUAGAUUUAUUAUCUGAAUAUUAUAUUACGGUACCGAGCACAAUUGCGUAUCUCGAGUUUCACACGUACGUGCGGAUUCCUAUGGAAAGAAUAGUUUACGCUGCCGGCUUCGAGGGUUGAAAUAUAUCGGCACAGAGGUUUGCAUAAAUGUUUUGUUCUUUUGUUGUUGUAAAACAGUAGGUAUUGUUUGCGCAAAUUUAAUGCAAAAUUUAUUAGUUUAUUUUAGCAUUACAUUCAUUAUCUGAUAUACGUUAAAGUACGGGACCGAGCAUAAUAGCGUAUGUCGAGUUACACACGUACGUGCGGAUUCCGAUGGAAAGAAUAGUUUACACUGCCGGCUUCGAGGGUUGAAAUAUAUCGGCACAGAGGUUCGCCGCAUUAAUGUUUUAGAGUUUGGCUCUAAAAUUAAUUUAACCGUUUUAUACGAUUCUUACUGAAUUUAACACAGAGUUUUUAGAUUCAGAAUAAAUUUUUUGAAUUGAAUCAAACCGGAGGUUCGUUUUUAAUUUUACUUUCGAACUUGGAAUUUUUGUUCAGUGCAAAAUGCUAUGCUGGUCAAACUCGCCUCGCGGCCCACUGUGAAGCUGUCAAGCUGUGUUUUGUUUUGAUAAAAAAUGAGGCGUCCCUUUGUGAAGGUAGCUCGCAACAAACGAUCGACAGCACGGUUCGUGUACGUGCAGCUGCGGGAAGGGCUGUAUUGCUGGAAGGUUGCUGGUAGCUGGUUGCUGGUAGCUGCAGCUGCGGGAAGGGCUGUAUUGCUGGAAGGUUGCUGGUAGCUGCAGCUGCGGGAAGGGCUGUAUUGCUGGAAGGUUGCUGGUAGCUGGUUGCUGGUAGCUGCAGCUGCUGGUGUUUCAUCGUUCCGGUACGCCACGAAGACCUCAAAGUUUUUUGUGAUAUAAAAAUAAACGAAAAGAAAGAAAGAAAAUUGGUUUUUUUAUUUUUUGUUCGGAUAGAUGGGAGGCUUGUCCUCGCCCCUUUUAGGUUGCGAUUGGUGGCGCGCCGUGGCUUCCAGAGUUUUGGCUAACGGUUAGCGCGUUAGUUUAGCAUUAGAUUUAUUAUCUGAAUAUUAUAUUACGGUACCGAGCACAAUUGCGUAUCUCGAGUUUCACACGUACGUGCGGAUUCCUAUGGAAAGAAUAGUUUACGCUGCCGGCUUCGAGGGUUGAAAUAUAUCGGCACAGAGGUUUGCAUAAAUGUUUUGUUCUUUUGUUGUUGUAAAACAGUAGGUAUUGUUUGCGCAAAUUUAAUGCAAAAUUUAUUAGUUUAUUUUAGCAUUACAUUCAUUAUCUGAUAUACGUUAAAGUACGGGACCGAGCAUAAUAGCGUAUGUCGAGUUACACACGUACGUGCGGAUUCCGAUGGAAAGAAUAGUUUACACUGCCGGCUUCGAGGGUUGAAAUAUAUCGGCACAGAGGUUCGCCGCAUUAAUGUUUUAGAGUUUGGCUCUAAAAUUAAUUUAACCGUUUUAUACGAUUCUUACUGAAUUUAACACAGAGUUUUUAGAUUCAGAAUAAAUUUUUUGAAUUGAAUCAAACCGGAGGUUCGUUUUUAAUUUUACUUUCGAACUUGGAAUUUUUGUUCAGUGCAAAAUGCUAUGCUGGUCAAACUCGCCUCGCGGCCCACUGUGAAGCUGUCAAGCUGUGUUUUGUUUUGAUAAAAAAUGAGGCGUCCCUUUGUGAAGGUAGCUCGCAACAAACGAUCGACAGCACGGUUCGUGUACGUGCAGCUGCGGGAAGGGCUGUAUUGCUGGAAGGUUGCUGGUAGCUGGUUGCUGGUAGCUGCAGCUGCGGGAAGGGCUGUAUUGCUGGAAGGUUGCUGGUAGCUGCAGCUGCGGGAAGGGCUGUAUUGCUGGAAGGUUGCUGGUAGCUGGUUGCUGGUAGCUGCAGCUGCUGGUGUUUCAUCGUUCCGGUACGCCACGAAGACCUCAAAGUUUUUUGUGAUAUAAAAAUAAACGAAAAGAAAGAAAGAAAAUUGGUUUUUUUAUUUUUUGUUCGGAUAGAUGGGAGGCUUGUCCUCGCCCCUUUUAGGUUGCGAUUGGUGGCGCGCCGUGGCUUCCAGAGUUUUGGCUAACGGUUAGCGCGUUAGUUUAGCAUUAGAUUUAUUAUCUGAAUAUUAUAUUACGGUACCGAGCACAAUUGCGUAUCUCGAGUUUCACACGUACGUGCGGAUUCCUAUGGAAAGAAUAGUUUACGCUGCCGGCUUCGAGGGUUGAAAUAUAUCGGCACAGAGGUUUGCAUAAAUGUUUUGUUCUUUUGUUGUUGUAAAACAGUAGGUAUUGUUUGCGCAAAUUUAAUGCAAAAUUUAUUAGUUUAUUUUAGCAUUACAUUCAUUAUCUGAUAUACGUUAAAGUACGGGACCGAGCAUAAUAGCGUAUGUCGAGUUACACACGUACGUGCGGAUUCCGAUGGAAAGAAUAGUUUACACUGCCGGCUUCGAGGGUUGAAAUAUAUCGGCACAGAGGUUCGCCGCAUUAAUGUUUUAGAGUUUGGCUCUAAAAUUAAUUUAACCGUUUUAUACGAUUCUUACUGAAUUUAACACAGAGUUUUUAGAUUCAGAAUAAAUUUUUUGAAUUGAAUCAAACCGGAGGUUCGUUUUUAAUUUUACUUUCGAACUUGGAAUUUUUGUUCAGUGCAAAAUGCUAUGCUGGUCAAACUCGCCUCGCGGCCCACUGUGAAGCUGUCAAGCUGUGUUUUGUUUUGAUAAAAAAUGAGGCGUCCCUUUGUGAAGGUAGCUCGCAACAAACGAUCGACAGCACGGUUCGUGUACGUGCAGCUGCGGGAAGGGCUGUAUUGCUGGAAGGUUGCUGGUAGCUGGUUGCUGGUAGCUGCAGCUGCGGGAAGGGCUGUAUUGCUGGAAGGUUGCUGGUAGCUGCAGCUGCGGGAAGGGCUGUAUUGCUGGAAGGUUGCUGGUAGCUGGUUGCUGGUAGCUGCAGCUGCUGGUGUUUCAUCGUUCCGGUACGCCACGAAGACCUCAAAGUUUUUUGUGAUAUAAAAAUAAACGAAAAGAAAGAAAGAAAAUUGGUUUUUUUAUUUUUUGUUCGGAUAGAUGGGAGGCUUGUCCUCGCCCCUUUUAGGUUGCGAUUGGUGGCGCGCCGUGGCUUCCAGAGUUUUGGCUAACGGUUAGCGCGUUAGUUUAGCAUUAGAUUUAUUAUCUGAAUAUUAUAUUACGGUACCGAGCACAAUUGCGUAUCUCGAGUUUCACACGUACGUGCGGAUUCCUAUGGAAAGAAUAGUUUACGCUGCCGGCUUCGAGGGUUGAAAUAUAUCGGCACAGAGGUUUGCAUAAAUGUUUUGUUCUUUUGUUGUUGUAAAACAGUAGGUAUUGUUUGCGCAAAUUUAAUGCAAAAUUUAUUAGUUUAUUUUAGCAUUACAUUCAUUAUCUGAUAUACGUUAAAGUACGGGACCGAGCAUAAUAGCGUAUGUCGAGUUACACACGUACGUGCGGAUUCCGAUGGAAAGAAUAGUUUACACUGCCGGCUUCGAGGGUUGAAAUAUAUCGGCACAGAGGUUCGCCGCAUUAAUGUUUUAGAGUUUGGCUCUAAAAUUAAUUUAACCGUUUUAUACGAUUCUUACUGAAUUUAACACAGAGUUUUUAGAUUCAGAAUAAAUUUUUUGAAUUGAAUCAAACCGGAGGUUCGUUUUUAAUUUUACUUUCGAACUUGGAAUUUUUGUUCAGUGCAAAAUGCUAUGCUGGUCAAACUCGCCUCGCGGCCCACUGUGAAGCUGUCAAGCUGUGUUUUGUUUUGAUAAAAAAUGAGGCGUCCCUUUGUGAAGGUAGCUCGCAACAAACGAUCGACAGCACGGUUCGUGUACGUGCAGCUGCGGGAAGGGCUGUAUUGCUGGAAGGUUGCUGGUAGCUGGUUGCUGGUAGCUGCAGCUGCGGGAAGGGCUGUAUUGCUGGAAGGUUGCUGGUAGCUGCAGCUGCGGGAAGGGCUGUAUUGCUGGAAGGUUGCUGGUAGCUGGUUGCUGGUAGCUGCAGCUGCUGGUGUUUCAUCGUUCCGGUACGCCACGAAGACCUCAAAGUUUUUUGUGAUAUAAAAAUAAACGAAAAGAAAGAAAGAAAAUUGGUUUUUUUAUUUUUUGUUCGGAUAGAUGGGAGGCUUGUCCUCGCCCCUUUUAGGUUGCGAUUGGUGGCGCGCCGUGGCUUCCAGAGUUUUGGCUAACGGUUAGCGCGUUAGUUUAGCAUUAGAUUUAUUAUCUGAAUAUUAUAUUACGGUACCGAGCACAAUUGCGUAUCUCGAGUUUCACACGUACGUGCGGAUUCCUAUGGAAAGAAUAGUUUACGCUGCCGGCUUCGAGGGUUGAAAUAUAUCGGCACAGAGGUUUGCAUAAAUGUUUUGUUCUUUUGUUGUUGUAAAACAGUAGGUAUUGUUUGCGCAAAUUUAAUGCAAAAUUUAUUAGUUUAUUUUAGCAUUACAUUCAUUAUCUGAUAUACGUUAAAGUACGGGACCGAGCAUAAUAGCGUAUGUCGAGUUACACACGUACGUGCGGAUUCCGAUGGAAAGAAUAGUUUACACUGCCGGCUUCGAGGGUUGAAAUAUAUCGGCACAGAGGUUCGCCGCAUUAAUGUUUUAGAGUUUGGCUCUAAAAUUAAUUUAACCGUUUUAUACGAUUCUUACUGAAUUUAACACAGAGUUUUUAGAUUCAGAAUAAAUUUUUUGAAUUGAAUCAAACCGGAGGUUCGUUUUUAAUUUUACUUUCGAACUUGGAAUUUUUGUUCAGUGCAAAAUGCUAUGCUGGUCAAACUCGCCUCGCGGCCCACUGUGAAGCUGUCAAGCUGUGUUUUGUUUUGAUAAAAAAUGAGGCGUCCCUUUGUGAAGGUAGCUCGCAACAAACGAUCGACAGCACGGUUCGUGUACGUGCAGCUGCGGGAAGGGCUGUAUUGCUGGAAGGUUGCUGGUAGCUGGUUGCUGGUAGCUGCAGCUGCGGGAAGGGCUGUAUUGCUGGAAGGUUGCUGGUAGCUGCAGCUGCGGGAAGGGCUGUAUUGCUGGAAGGUUGCUGGUAGCUGGUUGCUGGUAGCUGCAGCUGCUGGUGUUUCAUCGUUCCGGUACGCCACGAAGACCUCAAAGUUUUUUGUGAUAUAAAAAUAAACGAAAAGAAAGAAAGAAAAUUGGUUUUUUUAUUUUUUGUUCGGAUAGAUGGGAGGCUUGUCCUCGCCCCUUUUAGGUUGCGAUUGGUGGCGCGCCGUGGCUUCCAGAGUUUUGGCUAACGGUUAGCGCGUUAGUUUAGCAUUAGAUUUAUUAUCUGAAUAUUAUAUUACGGUACCGAGCACAAUUGCGUAUCUCGAGUUUCACACGUACGUGCGGAUUCCUAUGGAAAGAAUAGUUUACGCUGCCGGCUUCGAGGGUUGAAAUAUAUCGGCACAGAGGUUUGCAUAAAUGUUUUGUUCUUUUGUUGUUGUAAAACAGUAGGUAUUGUUUGCGCAAAUUUAAUGCAAAAUUUAUUAGUUUAUUUUAGCAUUACAUUCAUUAUCUGAUAUACGUUAAAGUACGGGACCGAGCAUAAUAGCGUAUGUCGAGUUACACACGUACGUGCGGAUUCCGAUGGAAAGAAUAGUUUACACUGCCGGCUUCGAGGGUUGAAAUAUAUCGGCACAGAGGUUCGCCGCAUUAAUGUUUUAGAGUUUGGCUCUAAAAUUAAUUUAACCGUUUUAUACGAUUCUUACUGAAUUUAACACAGAGUUUUUAGAUUCAGAAUAAAUUUUUUGAAUUGAAUCAAACCGGAGGUUCGUUUUUAAUUUUACUUUCGAACUUGGAAUUUUUGUUCAGUGCAAAAUGCUAUGCUGGUCAAACUCGCCUCGCGGCCCACUGUGAAGCUGUCAAGCUGUGUUUUGUUUUGAUAAAAAAUGAGGCGUCCCUUUGUGAAGGUAGCUCGCAACAAACGAUCGACAGCACGGUUCGUGUACGUGCAGCUGCGGGAAGGGCUGUAUUGCUGGAAGGUUGCUGGUAGCUGGUUGCUGGUAGCUGCAGCUGCGGGAAGGGCUGUAUUGCUGGAAGGUUGCUGGUAGCUGCAGCUGCGGGAAGGGCUGUAUUGCUGGAAGGUUGCUGGUAGCUGGUUGCUGGUAGCUGCAGCUGCUGGUGUUUCAUCGUUCCGGUACGCCACGAAGACCUCAAAGUUUUUUGUGAUAUAAAAAUAAACGAAAAGAAAGAAAGAAAAUUGGUUUUUUUAUUUUUUGUUCGGAUAGAUGGGAGGCUUGUCCUCGCCCCUUUUAGGUUGCGAUUGGUGGCGCGCCGUGGCUUCCAGAGUUUUGGCUAACGGUUAGCGCGUUAGUUUAGCAUUAGAUUUAUUAUCUGAAUAUUAUAUUACGGUACCGAGCACAAUUGCGUAUCUCGAGUUUCACACGUACGUGCGGAUUCCUAUGGAAAGAAUAGUUUACGCUGCCGGCUUCGAGGGUUGAAAUAUAUCGGCACAGAGGUUUGCAUAAAUGUUUUGUUCUUUUGUUGUUGUAAAACAGUAGGUAUUGUUUGCGCAAAUUUAAUGCAAAAUUUAUUAGUUUAUUUUAGCAUUACAUUCAUUAUCUGAUAUACGUUAAAGUACGGGACCGAGCAUAAUAGCGUAUGUCGAGUUACACACGUACGUGCGGAUUCCGAUGGAAAGAAUAGUUUACACUGCCGGCUUCGAGGGUUGAAAUAUAUCGGCACAGAGGUUCGCCGCAUUAAUGUUUUAGAGUUUGGCUCUAAAAUUAAUUUAACCGUUUUAUACGAUUCUUACUGAAUUUAACACAGAGUUUUUAGAUUCAGAAUAAAUUUUUUGAAUUGAAUCAAACCGGAGGUUCGUUUUUAAUUUUACUUUCGAACUUGGAAUUUUUGUUCAGUGCAAAAUGCUAUGCUGGUCAAACUCGCCUCGCGGCCCACUGUGAAGCUGUCAAGCUGUGUUUUGUUUUGAUAAAAAAUGAGGCGUCCCUUUGUGAAGGUAGCUCGCAACAAACGAUCGACAGCACGGUUCGUGUACGUGCAGCUGCGGGAAGGGCUGUAUUGCUGGAAGGUUGCUGGUAGCUGGUUGCUGGUAGCUGCAGCUGCGGGAAGGGCUGUAUUGCUGGAAGGUUGCUGGUAGCUGGUUGCUGGUAGCUGCAGCUGCUGGUGUUUCAUCGUUCCGGUACGCCACGAAGACCUCAAAGUUUUUUGUGAUAUAAAAAUAAACGAAAAGAAAGAAAGAAAAUUGGUUUUUUUAUUUUUUGUUCGGAUAGAUGGGAGGCUUGUCCUCGCCCCUUUUAGGUUGCGAUUGGUGGCGCGCCGUGGCUUCCAGAGUUUUGGCUAACGGUUAGCGCGUUAGUUUAGCAUUAGAUUUAUUAUCUGAAUAUUAUAUUACGGUACCGAGCACAAUUGCGUAUCUCGAGUUUCACACGUACGUGCGGAUUCCUAUGGAAAGAAUAGUUUACGCUGCCGGCUUCGAGGGUUGAAAUAUAUCGGCACAGAGGUUUGCAUAAAUGUUUUGUUCUUUUGUUGUUGUAAAACAGUAGGUAUUGUUUGCGCAAAUUUAAUGCAAAAUUUAUUAGUUUAUUUUAGCAUUACAUUCAUUAUCUGAUAUACGUUAAAGUACGGGACCGAGCAUAAUAGCGUAUGUCGAGUUACACACGUACGUGCGGAUUCCGAUGGAAAGAAUAGUUUACACUGCCGGCUUCGAGGGUUGAAAUAUAUCGGCACAGAGGUUCGCCGCAUUAAUGUUUUAGAGUUUGGCUCUAAAAUUAAUUUAACCGUUUUAUACGAUUCUUACUGAAUUUAACACAGAGUUUUUAGAUUCAGAAUAAAUUUUUUGAAUUGAAUCAAACCGGAGGUUCGUUUUUAAUUUUACUUUCGAACUUGGAAUUUUUGUUCAGUGCAAAAUGCUAUGCUGGUCAAACUCGCCUCGCGGCCCACUGUGAAGCUGUCAAGCUGUGUUUUGUUUUGAUAAAAAAUGAGGCGUCCCUUUGUGAAGGUAGCUCGCAACAAACGAUCGACAGCACGGUUCGUGUACGUGCAGCUGCGGGAAGGGCUGUAUUGCUGGAAGGUUGCUGGUAGCUGGUUGCUGGUAGCUGCAGCUGCGGGAAGGGCUGUAUUGCUGGAAGGUUGCUGGUAGCUGCAGCUGCGGGAAGGGCUGUAUUGCUGGAAGGUUGCUGGUAGCUGGUUGCUGGUAGCUGCAGCUGCUGGUGUUUCAUCGUUCCGGUACGCCACGAAGACCUCAAAGUUUUUUGUGAUAUAAAAAUAAACGAAAAGAAAGAAAGAAAAUUGGUUUUUUUAUUUUUUGUUCGGAUAGAUGGGAGGCUUGUCCUCGCCCCUUUUAGGUUGCGAUUGGUGGCGCGCCGUGGCUUCCAGAGUUUUGGCUAACGGUUAGCGCGUUAGUUUAGCAUUAGAUUUAUUAUCUGAAUAUUAUAUUACGGUACCGAGCACAAUUGCGUAUCUCGAGUUUCACACGUACGUGCGGAUUCCUAUGGAAAGAAUAGUUUACGCUGCCGGCUUCGAGGGUUGAAAUAUAUCGGCACAGAGGUUUGCAUAAAUGUUUUGUUCUUUUGUUGUUGUAAAACAGUAGGUAUUGUUUGCGCAAAUUUAAUGCAAAAUUUAUUAGUUUAUUUUAGCAUUACAUUCAUUAUCUGAUAUACGUUAAAGUACGGGACCGAGCAUAAUAGCGUAUGUCGAGUUACACACGUACGUGCGGAUUCCGAUGGAAAGAAUAGUUUACACUGCCGGCU
Long non-coding RNA from Anopheles gambiae (African malaria mosquito), 9323 nucleotides. RefSeq lists it as uncharacterized. NCBI's taxonomy places the organism in Eukaryota, Metazoa, Arthropoda, Insecta, Diptera, Culicidae. The record is from RefSeq and is a predicted model, not a curated record. The transcript has 28 exons.